GACGAACGCUGGCGGCGUGCUUAACACAUGCAAGUCGAACGGAAAGGCCCUGCUUUUGUGGGGUGCUCGAGUGGCGAACGGGUGAGUAACACGUGAGUAACCUGCCCUUGACUUUGGGAUAACUUCAGGAAACUGGGGCUAAUACCGGAUAGGAGCUCCUGCUGCAUGGUGGGGGUUGGAAAGUUUCGGCGGUUGGGGAUGGACUCGCGGCUUAUCAGCUUGUUGGUGGGGUAGUGGCUUACCAAGGCUUUGACGGGUAGCCGGCCUGGGAGGGUGACCGGCCACAUUGGGACUGAGAUACGGCCCAGACUCCUACGGGAGGCAGCAGUGGGGAAUAUUGCACAAUGGGCGGGAGUCUGAUGCAGCAACGCCGCGUGCGGGAUGACGGCCUUCGGGUUGUAAACCGCUUUCGCCUGUGACGAAGCGUGAGUGACGGUAAUGGGUAAAGAAGCACCGGCUAACUACGUG
This 468-nucleotide ribosomal RNA is filed under the name uncultured bacterium. Its description in RNAcentral is "partial 16S ribosomal RNA". It matches the Rfam family "Bacterial small subunit ribosomal RNA", at positions 28 to 507 of the family's 1533-position model. The record is from RNAcentral.